RNAcentral lists this ribosomal RNA (496 nucleotides) under uncultured bacterium. RNAcentral's name for it is "partial 16S ribosomal RNA". It matches the Rfam family "Bacterial small subunit ribosomal RNA", at positions 28 to 506 of the family's 1533-position model. The record is from RNAcentral.
GAUGAACGCUGGCGGCGUGCCUAAUACAUGCAAGUCGAGCGAACAGACGAGGAGCUUGCUCCUCUGACGUUAGCGGCGGACGGGUGAGUAACACGUGGAUAACCUACCUAUAAGACUGGGAUAACUUCGGGAAACCGGAGCUAAUACCGGAUAAUAUAUUGAACCGCAUGGUUCAAUAGUGAAAGACGGUUUUGCUGUCACUUAUAGAUGGAUCCGCGCCGCAUUAGCUAGUUGGUAAGGUAACGGCUUACCAAGGCAACGAUGCGUAGCCGACCUGAGAGGGUGAUCGGCCACCCUGGAACUGAGACACGGUCCAGACUCCUACGGGAGGCAGAAGUGGGGAAUCUUCCGCAAUGGGCGAAAGCCUGACGGAGCAACGCCGCGUGGGUGAUGAAGGUCUCCGGAUCGUAAAACUCUGUUAUUAGGGAAAAAAAAAUGUGUAAGUAACUAUGCACGUCUUGACGGUACCUAAGCAGAAAGCCACGGCUAACUACGG